UACGUAGGGUGCAAGCGUUAAUCGGAAUUACUGGGCGUAAAGCGUGCGCAGGCGGUUCGCUAAGACAGAUGUGAAAUCCCCGGGCUUAACCUGGGAACUGCAUUUGUGACUGGCGGGCUAGAGUAUGGCAGAGGGGGGUAGAAUUCCACGUGUAGCAGUGAAAUGCGUAGAAAUGUGGAGGAAUACCGAUGGCGAAGGCAGCCCCCUGGGCCAAUACUGACGCUCAUGCACGAAAGCGUGGGGAGCAAACAGG
This 253-nucleotide ribosomal RNA is filed under the name uncultured bacterium. RNAcentral's name for it is "partial 16S ribosomal RNA". It matches the Rfam family "Bacterial small subunit ribosomal RNA", at positions 524 to 776 of the family's 1533-position model. The record is from RNAcentral.